Long non-coding RNA from Wyeomyia smithii (pitcher-plant mosquito), 535 nucleotides. RefSeq lists it as uncharacterized. The record is from RefSeq and is a predicted model, not a curated record. Lineage: Eukaryota; Metazoa; Arthropoda; Insecta; Diptera; Culicidae. The transcript is spliced from 4 exons.
AAGCUCGCUAACCUAACAAUGGAGCGAAACAUCAGUCGGUAUCAGAAAUGUAUAUCGGUGUCUAACAAAGAUUUAAAUAUCACGAAAUUUUACUCGGAGCCGAUAUUCAUAACAUACCACAGAUCCUUACUGCUUAAGCCCGACCGAUAAAACGAUUUUCUUAGAAUAAUGAAUGAAUAAAUAUGUGGAUUUCAAAAAAUUUUCAAGCGUUUCAACCCGAUUAAGCCAUUGGAGACAAAUAACAUGAAAAUACAUCAUCAUUGCCCGAUUUAUACAGAACUCAAACACCGUUAAACGUCUUAACUCGAUGGAGCCAUUGGAGGCAAAGAAUAUGGCUAUAUAUCGUAAUAUUGUGGUACUUGCAAAUACAUUUACAUAUUGAUAUAAUUAUCAAUUGCAUUACUAUUAAUCAAUCAAAAUCAUGUUUCUUCUGAUUUGCUUUGAACUCUGUCAUGACCCGAUUAGGCCGCUGAAGGCAAAGAACAUGAAACACAUCGUCAGAACCCGAUUUAUACAGAACUCAAACACCGUUAAC